AAUUUUGGACAAUUGGGGAAACCCUGAUCCAGCCAUCCCGCGUGUAUCAGGAAGGCCUUCGGGUUGUAAAGUACUUCUGGCCUAGAAGAAAAGGUAUCCCCUAAUACGGGAUACUGCUGACGGCAUCUGCAGAAUAAGCACCGGCUAACUACGUGCCAGCAGCCGCGGUAAUACGUAUGGUGCAAGCGUUAAUCGGAAUUACUGGGCGUAAAGGGUGGGUAGGCGGGUCGGAAAGAAAGAUGUGAAAUGGCGGGGCGCAACCAUGGAACUGCAUUUUUAACUGCCGAGCUAGAGUAUGUCAGAGGGGGGUAGAAUUCGACGUGUAGCAGUGAAAUGCGUAGAUAUGUGGAGGAAUACCGAUGGCGAAGGCAGCCCCCUGGGAUAAUACUGACGCUCAGACACGAAAGCGUGGGGAGCAAACAGG
This 424-nucleotide ribosomal RNA is filed under the name uncultured bacterium. RNAcentral describes it as "partial 16S ribosomal RNA". It matches the Rfam family "Bacterial small subunit ribosomal RNA", at positions 360 to 776 of the family's 1533-position model. The record is from RNAcentral.